UUCGGUGACCAUAGCGAGCAGGUCCCACCCGAUCCCAUUCCGAACUCGGAAGUUAAGCUGCUCAGCGCCGAUGGUACUGCCAGGGUGACUUGGUGGGAGAGUAGGACGUUGCCGAUU
Molecule: ribosomal RNA, 117 nt
Filed under: Deltaproteobacteria bacterium
Lineage: Bacteria; Pseudomonadati; Myxococcota; Myxococcia
Source: RNAcentral